RNAcentral lists this small RNA (79 nucleotides) under Tenacibaculum todarodis. Its description in RNAcentral is "Tenacibaculum sp. LPB0136 Flavo-1 RNA". It matches the Rfam family "Flavo-1 RNA". The record is from Rfam by way of RNAcentral. Lineage: Bacteria; Pseudomonadati; Bacteroidota; Flavobacteriia; Flavobacteriales; Flavobacteriaceae.
UAUUAGCUGGCUUGCGUGAGGGAUUGAAACGGCAUCCUUUUUUUUUCAAAAAAAGAUAUAGUGUAAAGCCCAACCACGU